This 806-nucleotide long non-coding RNA is filed under the name Olea europaea subsp. europaea. Lineage: Eukaryota; Viridiplantae; Streptophyta; Magnoliopsida; Lamiales; Oleaceae. The record is from RNAcentral.
UGUGGCAACAUCUUCUCGCUCGGAUAAGGGGAAGUCCUCACGAAUGGAUGAGUCGUUGGUGGCAAGCUUGGCUGAGGGCGCGCUAUCUUCUACGAUUGUCGACGAGGUAGUUUUUCUUUUUGCUUCAUUCCUAUUUCCACCUUGUUCGUUGUAGUGAGGAUUUUUAAUAUUGGCAGUCUUCUUUGCAGGAUGCUGACAGGAUUGUGCGUUCUAUCCAAGACUUGUUCGCUUCCUGGGGGCAGGUCCAAAUGCCUCGCCCUGCUCCAUCUGAUUGUCCUGCUGCUUCUUCAGAAGAAGAUCUGAAGUUCUUGAAGGAGUCGGUAUUUGAGUACGUAUCCUUCAUGGAUAUGGACAUUGGAAGGGCUAGUGCUGCCAGACACAAGGAUAAGCUUGAGCACUUGAGUGCGAAGUUGGAGCAAGCACUGACGCUUCCGUCGCUCAAUCUUUCUGCCAACUUUAAAGCGACGUUGAAGGUCAUUCACUCCGAGGUCCUUUCUAUGCUGGCCAAGAAUGCUGAACUAAAGGCCAAGCGUACUCAAUAUCUUCGAGCCGUAGCUGAGAAAGAGUCUUUGCGCAUGGAGAUCAACAAGGCUAAGGACGAGUUGAAAGAAAUCUCUUCCGAAGUCAUGAUUGAAGACUCUUUGAUGGUUAACUUGGCUGCUCAGAUGAGAGAACUUCAAGCUAAGAUGGACGAUUGCAGGGCGAGGAUGGCUGCUAAAAAGCGCAACGCCUCCCAGGGAAUUGAGCGAACUAAGUCCUUGGUCGAGCAGUACAAGAAAUUGGAAGUUGAUGAUGAUGACGUCGCG